This 485-nucleotide long non-coding RNA is filed under the name Nicotiana benthamiana. RNAcentral's name for it is "long non-coding RNA (NBEN_LNC032780)". The record is from RNAcentral. Lineage: Eukaryota; Viridiplantae; Streptophyta; Magnoliopsida; Solanales; Solanaceae.
UGAGAAGUUGUUUUCACCUUAAGAGUUUCAUACUUGUCAUAGUUCUUUAGUAACUUUGAUUUCUAAUAUAUUUGCAUGUAUUAGGCUAAUUUGCUCUUCUGAACUUUUAACAACUGAUAUUAUCUUGUAACUUCUUGGUUUUAUUCCUGUAUAUCCUGGGUGUCCAAUCUCUGUUACUCAUUUCUCACUUCCAAGUAUUCUGAAUUAGGUUGUUUCUGUAAGUCAGGCAUUAGUUGAUGUGUUUCCUUUUCUGGUCACUUUAAUUCAUUGGUCUUUGACAGAAAAUGCAUUGAACAUUCAUAUAAUCCUGAAUAAUAAUUGUUGCUAAAUAGUCCACAUUAAUAUAUUUGUUUAAAACUUUAGUUGUGUUGGCUAAUUCUUGAACUUGUCAAUUAAGCCUGUAGUCCAUACCAAAAUUGCUGAAUAGUCCACAUUAGGAUAUUUGUUUAAAACUUUAGUUGUGUUGGCUAAUUAUUAAACUUGUC